CUGAUUACUCGUAUUUUACAAAGAAAAUAUUAUUAAAAAAACCUCUUUGUUUAAUUUCUUCCCUUUACCGAUCCUCAAAAUUAAAAUUGCUUUUGAGUGUCUCUAAUAUGAAUAUUUGAUGAUUUUCUAAAUUUGGGUAUCAUAUAUCAUUCAAACUGUCUUUCUUUAUAAAGGAUUUAAUCAAAGGAGGUGAGAAGAUUAGUCAGGACACAAGGAACUAUAUCUGUUCCCGUCUAUAUUUGUUCUUGUUAGAGAGAUUAAUCAAAGCAAGAACUCAGAAGGGAGAAGAGUAUUUUUUUGAAAGGGAACAAUUGUAACCCAGUACUUUGAAGAUCUUUGUACAAUUUAUUAUUUUCUUCUAUAUUCUCUUUUGUCAUUAAAGAAUACCCCCUCCGUAUUUAUUUAAGAGAUACACUUGGUCGGGCACGUGUAUUAAGAAAAAGAAUUGAAUGAAAUAAAGUAAUAAAACAAGUGGGGUUGAGUAAUAUUUUAAUAAGUAAAACAAGUGUGUAACAUGUCAUUUUAGGGGAUUGAGGGUGGUGAUGGGUGUAGAUAGAUUAUUUAAUUAGAUGGUGGGGUUGAUAAGUUACUAAAAAUGACAAGUGUAUCUCUUAAAUAAAUACGGCCGGAAAAGGCAAGUGUAUCUCUUAAAUAAAUACAGAGAGAGUAUUAUUUAUUUGCAAUUUUCAAUUAUAUGAAAAUUCAAUUAUAUGAAAAUUCAAUUACGAAGUAGAUACUUUAAUAUGUUUAUUUUUUCCGUAUAAUUUAUAUUCCACUUUUACAGAUUGAGUAUGUAGAUAUGUAAUUAUUUUAUGGAAAUAGUGGGAACCAUAUAUGGAGUUAAUAUCCCAAAAAGGGUGGUGUGUUUCUGCUAAAUAUUACUCCCUCCGAAUCUAAAUAUUAUUCCUGUUUUUUUUUUAGUGUCCCAAAAUAAUCUUCCCAUUUCUUUUAUUUCCUUUUAAUUUCUUCCUUGUAACUUUAACUUUGUAAUUCUAUUGGUUUAUCAAUAAAAAAUCUUGUAGUGUCA
Molecule: long non-coding RNA, 1027 nt
Organism: Spinacia oleracea (spinach)
Lineage: Eukaryota; Viridiplantae; Streptophyta; Magnoliopsida; Caryophyllales; Amaranthaceae
Exons: 3
Source: RefSeq, a predicted model, not a curated record